RNAcentral lists this ribosomal RNA (506 nucleotides) under uncultured bacterium. RNAcentral's name for it is "partial 16S ribosomal RNA". It matches the Rfam family "Bacterial small subunit ribosomal RNA", at positions 29 to 523 of the family's 1533-position model. The record is from RNAcentral.
AUUGAACGCUGGCGGCAGGCCUAACACAUGCAAGUCGGACGGUAGCACAGAGGAGCUUGCUCCUCGGGUGACGAGUGGCGGACGGGUGAGUAAUGUCUGGGGAUCUGCCCGAUAGAGGGGGAUAACCACUGGAAACGGUGGCUAAUACCGCAUAACGUCGCAAGACCAAAGAGGGGGACCUUCGGGCCUCUCACUAUCGGAUGAACCCAGAUGGGAUUAGCUAGUAGGCGGGGUAACGGCCCACCUAGGCGACGAUCCCUAGCUGGUCUGAGAGGAUGACCAGCCACACUGGAACUGAGACACGGUCCAGACUCCUACGGGAGGCAGCAGUGGGGAAUAUUGCACAAUGGGCGCAAGCCUGAUGCAGCCAUGCCGCGUGUAUGAAGAAGGCCUUCGGGUUGUAAAGUACUUUCAGCGGGGAGGAAGGCGAUAAGGUUAAUAACCUUGUCGAUUGACGUUACCCGCAGAAGAAGCACCGGCUAACUCCGUGCCAGCCGCCGCCGUAA